This 732-nucleotide ribosomal RNA is filed under the name uncultured fungus. RNAcentral's name for it is "eukaryotic LSU rRNA". The stretch from base 262 to 415 matches the Rfam family "5.8S ribosomal RNA". Lineage: Eukaryota; Fungi. The record is from RNAcentral.
AAGUCGUAACAAAGGUUUCUGUAGGUGAACCUGCAGAAGGAUCAUUAGUGAAGAUUUGGGCUGGCCAUACGGACGCCAAAAAGUGUCCCUGGCCGCCCUACCACCCCACUAUACAUCCACAAACCCGUGUGCACUGUCUUGGAGAAAGGCUUCAGAGAAGUUUUUUGUGGCCUCUCUUGGGGUCUUUCUUCGCUCCAAACUCGAAUGGUUAGUAUGAACGUGGAACUUGGUUGGACCGUCACUGGCCAACAAACUAUACACAACUUUCGACAACGGAUCUCUUGGUUCUCCCAUCGAUGAAGAACGCAGCGAAACGCGAUAGGUAAUGUGAAUUACAGAAUUCCGUGAAUCAUCGAAUCUUUGAACGCACCUUGCGCUCUAUGGCAAUCCGUAGAGCAUGCCUGUUUGAGUGCCAUGAAAUCUCCCACCCCAAGCGGUUUUUACAUGAAACGGCUUGGCGGAUGGGGUCUGGAUGGGUGCCUCUGCCUGCGCUACCUAGCACAGGCUCGCCCGAAAUGCAUGAGCGCCUUGAGACACUUUGCAUCCGCCUCUCUGUUUGGGAGGAGGCGGCCAAGCAGUGUUUUUCUCCUGGCAUGGCAUGAUACGUCAUUUGCUAUGUCGCCUAAAGGAGGAAUGUUUGGUUGUGUCUGCGUGUGCUUCGAACUUGCCUCUGUGGCACAUCCCAAUUUCACUUCUGGUCUCAAAUCAGGUAGGAUCACCCGCUGAACUUAA